Molecule: long non-coding RNA, 1590 nt
Organism: Erpetoichthys calabaricus (reedfish)
Lineage: Eukaryota; Metazoa; Chordata; Cladistia; Polypteriformes; Polypteridae
Exons: 5
Source: RefSeq, a predicted model, not a curated record
GAACUUCCGCCAUUCGAGUGAGAAGGAGAAAGAACAACGCUGUAAAGAAUAGGAGCAUGAUUUUUUUUCCUGGCAUCUUGGCAGAAGAAUAUUUUUCACUUCUUGAAAAAAUGAAGACUUUUCAAUUUUACAACGACUUGAAAGAAUAUCUUUUACGGGAAGAAUUUAGCAACAAUUUAACGGUCAGAGAGCGAAGUGAAAUACGACGUCUGUCCGUGAAUUUUAUGAUUAAAGUCCAUCAUCCAUGCCCUGGCUGCUGUACAGGGUGUAUCAGGGCAGGAGGCAGAAGACUUAUUUCUUGGUGGCCCAGAAUACAGUAUCAGGUAAAAGUCAAGUCUAUGAAUGUUUGAAGUAAGUGUUUAAAUAUUUCUUGUUUAUUAUUUUUAUACUUUACUUGCCUUAGUGAAGUGGAAGAAUUUAACCGAAAGAUAGGGCAGCAAUUAAAGAAGGAGGGAAUGGUGUGAUAUCUGUUGGAAUAGAAGAUGAUGCUACUGCCCAGUGCUUCCAGAAUCCUUCAUUUGAGUCUUGGGUCUGAAUCUACUGCAUCAUUGCCAAGUAUUCUGGGGUAAUGUAUCUUGUUUUGUUUACAUUUUGUUUCUCUCCAUAUUCCAAGCUCAUUUACUUGACCUUAGCUUUAAUAAACUGGAUGGCGGUCUCCUUCACAAUUGAUUUUAAAGUACUGUACUAUUCAUUACAUAAAAAGCUCUGAACAAUUUAGUCCCUUCCUGUAUUUGGUACUGUCUCUCCCCCAACACUCCUCAGUGUAAUCUUUAAUCCACAACCACUAAUUUGCUUAUGAAAGAACUGGUGAAGAAGCUUGCACAUGUAUACCAAAAAUAUAGAAUGCCGGCUAUAAAUGAAAAACAUUUCAAAAUACUUUUAAAACUCCAUUUUUAAACUUCACCUCUGCUUAAUUCCCACUUCUAUCAGUUUAUGAUUUACUUCUGGUUUAUGAAUGGAACUGCAUACACUUUGAAAGAUUUACACCAGAUAAUAACCAUUGUUUUUUUUGCUGUUUUCUUUUUUUUUGUCCAGUGAUGCCCUUUGCCAUGCACCCUGGGCAAGUCUUGUGCAACUGACUGUGGUGCUGAAGAGAGAAGAUUUCUGAAGACCCUCUUGAAAUGGAGCUGCAAUUGGAUUAACACCACAACAGUAUGCUUGGUUGUUUUAUCUGAAAAGGUGUCAUCCAAAUGGUUUAAAAACGAUGAAGAUCCUAAAGGUCACCGGAUAAUGACCUCUAUACAGUAGAAACUGAGGAGCUCACAGAUGGCCUCUACAACUAGCUCGAGGAACAGUUGAGAGGAUUUCUCUAGCAGAGGCAGAAGGUCUGUUCAUUGAUGGACCAGCAGACGGUGAGUGAAGAGUUUGACACACUUGAGCUUCAACUGUUGGAGUAGAAAGACAGUCAGCAUCACUGAGGCAUCUCAACUUGGGAUUCCAUCUCAGCCACUCCUCUAAUAAACGCGUCACUUGCUUUAUUUGUCUUUGGCCUUUUUUUAUUUCUGUGUGUUAAACUGACUGUGCAUAAUAGAGUUGUGCAUAUUUGAUUUAACUAUUGAUGUAAAUAAUAAAGGACACUUUGUUGAUUAA